GACGAACGCUGGCGGCGUGCCUAAUACAUGCAAGUAGAACGCUGAAGCGAGGAGCUUGCUCUUCUUGGAUGAGUUGCGAACGGGUGAGUAACGCGUAGGUAACCUGCCUUGUAGCGGGGGAUAACUAUUGGAAACGAUAGCUAAUACCGCAUAACAAUGGAUGACACAUGUCAUUUAUUUGAAAGGGGCAAUUGCUCCACUACAAGAUGGACCUGCGUUGUAUUAGCUAGUAGGUGAGGUAAUGGCUCACCUAGGCGACGAUACAUAGCCGACCUGAGAGGGUGAUCGGCCACACUGGGACUGAGACACGGCCCAGACUCCUACGGGAGGCAGCAGUAGGGAAUCUUCGGCAAUGGGGGCAACACUGACCGAGCAACGCCGCGUGAGUGAAGAAGGUUUUCGGAUCGUAAAGCUCUGUUGUAAGUCAAGAACGGGUGUGAGAGUGGAAAGUUCACACUGUGACGGUAGCUUACCAGAAAGGGACGGCUAACUACGUG
Molecule: ribosomal RNA, 497 nt
Filed under: uncultured bacterium
Lineage: Bacteria
Description: partial 16S ribosomal RNA
Rfam family: Bacterial small subunit ribosomal RNA
Source: RNAcentral